AUGAAUGGAGUUACGGGGCUUAGCUGUCUCUAAACUAUUUAAUUGAAGUUGCUAUAUAGGUGAAAAAGCCUAUAUCAAGAAAAAAGACGAGAAGACCCUUAGAGUUUUACUUAAAGUAGAGUUAUUUCUUCACUAGUUUUGUUGGGGCAACAUAGGAGAAGAGUUAAACCUCCUAAAGUAUAUAAACCGAUGUUUUUAAAUGUGAAUAAACUACCUUAGGGAUAACAGCAUAAUUUUAAAAAUAAGUUUGUGACCUCGAUGUUGGACUAGGAAACUUAAAGGCUAGCCGCCUUUUGCUAUAAUUCCUACAUGAUCUGAGUU
Molecule: ribosomal RNA, 321 nt
Filed under: Hypselodoris whitei
Lineage: Eukaryota; Metazoa; Mollusca; Gastropoda; Nudibranchia; Chromodorididae
Description: partial 16S ribosomal RNA
Rfam family: Bacterial large subunit ribosomal RNA
Source: RNAcentral